RNAcentral lists this ribosomal RNA (967 nucleotides) under uncultured rumen bacterium. RNAcentral's name for it is "bacterial SSU rRNA". It matches the Rfam family "Bacterial small subunit ribosomal RNA", at positions 8 to 959 of the family's 1533-position model. The record is from RNAcentral.
AGAGUUUGAUCCUGGCUCAGGACGAACGCUGGCGGCGUGCCUAACACAUGCAAGUCGAGCGGGGACAUUGCGACGGACCUGAAGAUUUCGGUUGGAUGGAAAGAUGUAAUGUUCUAGCGGCGGACGGGUGAGUAACGCGUGAGCAACCUGUCCCUUACAGGGGGAUAACACAGCGAAAGUUGUACUAAUACCGCAUGAGACCGCGGAGUCACAUGGCUCAGGGGUCAAAGGAGCAAUCCGGUAAGGGGUGGGCUCGCGUCCGAUUAGAUAGUUGGUGAGGUAACGGCCCACCAAGUCGACGAUCGGUAGCCGACCUGAGAGGGUGAUCGGCCACAUUGGGACUGAGACACGGCCCAAACUCCUACGGGAGGCAGCAGUGGGGAAUAUUGGGCAAUGGGGGGAACCCUGACCCAGCAACGCCGCGUGAGGGAAGAAGGUUUUCGGAUCGUAAACCUCUGUCCUAUGUGAAGAGAAAGAGACGGUAGCAUAGGAGGAAGCCCCGGCUAACUACGUGCCAGCAGCCGCGGUAAUACGUAGGGGGCGAGCGUUGUCCGGAAUGAUUGGGCGUAAAGGGCGCGUAGGCGGCCCGGUAAGUCUGGAGUGAAAGUCCUGUUUUUAAGAUGGGAAUUGCUUUGGAUACUGUCGGGCUUGAGUGCAGGAGAGGUAAGUGGAAUUCCCAGUGUAGCGGUGAAAUGCGUAGAGAUUGGGAGGAACACCAGUGGCGAAGGCGACUUACUGGACUGUAACUGACGCUGAGGCGCGAAAGUGUGGGGAGCAAACAGGAUUAGAUACCCUGGUAGUCCACACUGUAAACGAUGAAUGCUAGGUGUAGGGGGUAUCGACCCCUUCUGUGCCGCAGUAAACACAAUAAGCAUUCCGCCUGGGGAGUACGGCCGCAAGGUUGAAACUCAAAGGAAUUGACGGGGGCCCGCACAAGCAGCGGAGCAUGUGGUUUAAUUCGACGCAA